Molecule: ribosomal RNA, 467 nt
Filed under: uncultured bacterium
Lineage: Bacteria
Description: partial 16S ribosomal RNA
Rfam family: Bacterial small subunit ribosomal RNA
Source: RNAcentral
GACGAACGCUGGCGGCGUGCUUAACACAUGCAAGUCGAACGGAAAGGCUCCAGCUUGCUGGAGUACUCGAGUGGCGAACGGGUGAGUAACACGUGGGUAAUCUGCCCUGCACUCUGGGAUAAGCCUGGGAAACUGGGUCUAAUACUGGAUAUGACCUUUCUCCUUAUGGGGUUUGGUGGAAAGUUUUUCGGUGUAGGAUGAGCCCGCGGCCUAUCAGCUUGUUGGUGGGGUGAUGGCCUACCAAGGCGACGACGGGUAGCCGGCCUGAGAGGGUGAUCGGCCACAUUGGGACUGAGAUACGGCGCAGACUCCUACGGGAGGCAGCAGUGGGGAAUAUUGCACAAUGGGCGGAAGCCUGAUGCAGCGACGCCGCGUGAGGGAUGACGGCCUUCGGGUUGUAAACCUCUUUCAGCAGGGACGAAGCGUAAGUGACGGUACCUGCAGAAGAAGCACCGGCUAACUAUGUG